RNAcentral lists this ribosomal RNA (726 nucleotides) under Raffaelea subalba. Its description in RNAcentral is "eukaryotic LSU rRNA". It matches the Rfam family "Eukaryotic large subunit ribosomal RNA", at positions 79 to 823 of the family's 3401-position model. The record is from RNAcentral. Lineage: Eukaryota; Fungi; Ascomycota; Sordariomycetes; Ophiostomatales; Ophiostomataceae.
CCCAGUAACGGCGAGUGAAGCGGCAACAGCUCAAAUUUGAAAUCUGGCUCCCCCCUGGGGGGCCCGAGUUGUAAUUUGGAGAGGAUGCUUUGGGCGCGGCGCCUUCCGAGUUCCUUGGAACAGGACGCCAGAGAGGGUGAGAGCCCCGUACGGUCGGACGCCUAGCCCGUGCAAAGCUCCUUCGACGAGUCGAGUAGUUUGGGAAUGCUGCUCAAAAUGGGAGGUAAAUUUCUUCUAAAGCUAAAUACCGGCCAGAGACCGAUAGCGCACAAGUAGAGUGAUCGAAAGAUGAAAAGCACUUUGAAAAGAGGGUUAAACAGCACGUGAAAUUGUUGAAAGGGAAGCGCCUGUGGCCAGACGUGCGCCCCGCGGACCACCCGUCGCUCUGCGGCGGGGCACGCCGCGGCGGCGCAGGCCAGCAUCGGCUCUCCCAGGGGGACAAAGGCCGCGGGAACGUAGCUCCUUCGGGAGUGUUAUAGCCCGCGGCGCCAUGCCUCUGGGGGGGCCGAGGACCGCGCCUUCGGGCAAGGAUGCUGGCGUAAUGGCCACCAGCGACCCGUCUUGAAACACGGACCAAGGAGUCAAGCAUUGGGGCGAGUGUUUGGGUGACAAACCCGCACGCGAAAUGAAAGUGAACGCAGGUGGGAGCCUCCGGGCGCACCACCGACCGAUCCUGAAGUUUUCGGAUGGAUUUGAGUAGGAGCCUUGCCGCUUGGACCCGAAAGA